UACGGAGGGAGCUAGCGUUGUUCGGAAUUACUGGGCGUAAAGGGCGCGUAGGCGGCCUGUUAAGUCGAACGUGAAAUCCCCGGGCUCAACCCGGGAACUGCGUCCGAUACUGGCAGGCUUGAAUCCGGGAGAGGGAUGCGGAAUUCCAGGUGUAGCGGUGAAAUGCGUAGAUAUCUGGAGGAACACCGGUGGCGAAGGCGGCAUCCUGGACCGGCAUUGACGCUGAGGCGCGAAAGCCAGGGGAGCAAACGGG
This 253-nucleotide ribosomal RNA is filed under the name uncultured bacterium. RNAcentral's name for it is "partial 16S ribosomal RNA". It matches the Rfam family "Bacterial small subunit ribosomal RNA", at positions 524 to 776 of the family's 1533-position model. The record is from RNAcentral.